RNAcentral lists this ribosomal RNA (283 nucleotides) under uncultured bacterium. RNAcentral's name for it is "partial 16S ribosomal RNA". It matches the Rfam family "Bacterial small subunit ribosomal RNA", at positions 123 to 406 of the family's 1533-position model. The record is from RNAcentral.
AACGUGCCCAGUCGUGGGGGAUAACGUAGAGAAAUUUACGCUAAUACCGCAUACGAUCUACGGAUGAAAGCGGGGGAUUCGCAAGAACCUCGCGCGAUUGGAGCGGCUGAUAUCAGAUUAGGUUGUUGGUGAGGUAAAAGCUCACCAAGCCGACGAUCUGUAGCUGGUUUGAGAGAACGACCAGCCACACUGGGACUGAGACACGGCCCAGACUCCUACGGGAGGCAGCAGUGGGGAAUUUUGGACAAUGGGCGAAAGCCUGAUCCAGCAAUGCCGCGUGUGG